RNAcentral lists this microRNA precursor (127 nucleotides) under Hordeum vulgare. RNAcentral's name for it is "microRNA MIR1122". It matches the Rfam family "MIR1120/MIR1122 microRNA precursor family". The record is from RNAcentral. Lineage: Eukaryota; Viridiplantae; Streptophyta; Magnoliopsida; Poales; Poaceae.
CUUAUACUUCCUCCGUUCGGAAAUAAUUGUCAGAUAAAUUAAUGUAUCUAGAUGUAUUUUAGUUCUAGAUAGAUCCACUUUUAUCCAUUUCUCCGACAAGUAUUUUCGAAUGGUGGGAGAGUACUAU